RNAcentral lists this ribosomal RNA (301 nucleotides) under uncultured bacterium. RNAcentral's name for it is "partial 16S ribosomal RNA". It matches the Rfam family "Bacterial small subunit ribosomal RNA", at positions 509 to 807 of the family's 1533-position model. The record is from RNAcentral.
CAGUCGCCGCGGUAAAACGAAGGGUGCAAGCGUUAAUCGGAAUUACUGGGCGUAAAGCGUGCGUAGGCGGUGAGUUAAGUCUGCUGUGAAAUCCCCGGGCUCAACCUGGGAACGGCAGUGGAUACUGGCUCGCUAGAGUGUGUCAGAGGAUGGUGGAAUUCCCGGUGUAGCGGUGAAAUGCGUAGAGAUCGGGAGGAACAUCAGUGGCGAAGGCGGCCAUCUGGGACAACACUGACGCUGAGGCACGAAAGCGUGGGGAGCAAACAGGAUUAGAUACCCCCGUAGUCCCUGUCUCUUAUAC